RNAcentral lists this long non-coding RNA (997 nucleotides) under Sorghum bicolor (sorghum). Its description in RNAcentral is "long non-coding RNA (SBIC_LNC003627)". Lineage: Eukaryota; Viridiplantae; Streptophyta; Magnoliopsida; Poales; Poaceae. The record is from RNAcentral.
AAGUAUGCUAAACUUGUAGUGCAGACUCACUAGAAGAAGGCUUCAUCGAGGUGAUUUGGAUUCUUCGAGACCCUACGUCUAAUAUUAGCUCAUCACUAUUAAUACAUGGCCCACUUAUCUGUCUCACAAACUUUCUUGGUUUUUGUGACUAAGCCGGCUGUAAGCUUACAGUCCGCUUUUACUCUCUCUUCCACCUCAGCAUUUAGUGAGCUUACAACUUGCUAUAAUACUUGCUCUCAUGAUUUGUCCAAGGGUAAGUCCUCAAGUCCUCCUUCCAGGUCUCCAUGAAUCGGUGCCAAAUGGUAAAACCAUGAAAUGAUUCAACCUAGAAAUGUUUCUGGUUUCCUACUUGUGAACGUGAAACAGGUUGGAGGGUGGUUUCAUAGUGGUUCUCUUUCAUUUUUUUGGCUUCUUUAUAUGCUAGUAAUUGUAUUUUUAGUUGUAGUCUAUUUUUAGUGCAACAAGUAAAAAUGUGUUGUUUUUAAGUUGUUCCUGACCCACAAAAAAGCUUGGCUUUUUUUGAAAUGUAUUUUUAUUUAUAUGAUUUUAAGAUUUCUAAUGAAUUAGAAUCUAGUCUACUAGCUAAACAAUUUCAUAAAAUUGAUUCUACUUAAUUACCGGAAUGUUUUUUUGAGAGAAUCCAAAAUAUUUCUCCAAACACACCCUAAACUUUUAUCAAACUUUUGAAACCUCGAUAGUCAAUAGCCUUUAGAAGAAUUUAAGUUUAAUAGUUAAUAGUUACUCCCUCCAUCCCAAUGAAAAAUGUCAUUUUUUAUUUUUAGACUUCUUGUUUGAUCUUUUGCCUUAUUCAAAAUUUUUGUAUAAAUAUUAUUUAUUUUGUUAUGACUUAUUUUAUUAUUAGAGAUCCUUUAUUAAUGUUUUAUUUAUUUUAUUAUUUACAUAAAAAAUAUGAAUAAAACAAAUAUGAAUAAAACGAUUGAUCAAACAAAAAAGUCUACAAGUAAAAAUGACACUUUUAAUGGGACGAAACAUGCUA